RNAcentral lists this ribosomal RNA (255 nucleotides) under uncultured bacterium. RNAcentral describes it as "partial 16S ribosomal RNA". It matches the Rfam family "Bacterial small subunit ribosomal RNA", at positions 524 to 776 of the family's 1533-position model. The record is from RNAcentral.
UACGAAGGGUGCAAGCGUUUAAUCGGAAUUACUGGGCGUAAAGCGUGCGUAGGCGGUUUGUUAAGUCCGUUGUGAAAGCCCUGGGCUCAACCUGGGAAUUGCAGUGGAUACUGGCAAGCUAGAGUCAGGUAGAGGGUGGUGGAAUUCCCGGUGUAGCGGUGAAAUGCGUAGAGAUCGGGAGGAACAUCUGUGGCGAAGGCGGCCACCUGGACCAUGACUGACGCUGAGGCACGAAAGCGUGGGGGAGCAAACAGG